RNAcentral lists this ribosomal RNA (332 nucleotides) under uncultured eukaryote. RNAcentral describes it as "partial 18S ribosomal RNA". It matches the Rfam family "Eukaryotic small subunit ribosomal RNA", at positions 1470 to 1796 of the family's 1831-position model. The record is from RNAcentral.
CCCUUAGAUGUUCUGGGCUGCACACGUGCUACACUGGCAGGUUCAGCGAGCUUCAUGCCCUGAUCUGAAAGGAAUGGGAAAUCUUUUCAAAACCUGCCGUGCUUGGGAUAGAUGUUUGCAAUUAUUCAUCUUCAACGAGGAUUGCCUUGUAAGCGCACGUCAUCAGCGUGCAUUGAAUACGACCCUGUAUUCUGUACACACCGCCCGUCGCUCCUACCGAUUGAAGUUUUCGGUGAGUUGACAGGAGGAUUUUUUUGAAACUGGUUCGCCAGUGGAUUUUAGAUCGAAAUGCCAACGAAUCGAUGGCUUUAGAGGAAGGAGAAGUCGUAACA